Molecule: ribosomal RNA, 1029 nt
Filed under: Salmonella enterica subsp. enterica serovar Enteritidis
Lineage: Bacteria; Pseudomonadati; Pseudomonadota; Gammaproteobacteria; Enterobacterales; Enterobacteriaceae
Description: partial 23S ribosomal RNA
Rfam family: Bacterial large subunit ribosomal RNA
Source: RNAcentral
UGGGGAAACCCAGUGUGAUUCGUCACACUAUCAUUAACUGAAUCCAUAGGUUAAUGAGGCGAACCGGGGGAACUGAAACAUCUAAGUACCCCGAGGAAAAGAAAUCAACCGAGAUUCCCCCAGUAGCGGCGAGCGAACGGGGAGGAGCCCAGAGCCUGAAUCAGCAUGUGUGUUAGUGGAAGCGUCUGGAAAGGCGCGCGAUACAGGGUGACAGCCCCGUACACAAAAGCGCAUGUGCUGUGAGCUCGAUGAGUAGGGCGGGACACGUGGUAUCCUGUCUGAAUAUGGGGGGACCAUCCUCCAAGGCUAAAUACUCCUGACUGACCGAUAGUGAACCAGUACCGUGAGGGAAAGGCGAAAAGAACCCCGGCGAGGGGAGUGAAAAAGAACCUGAAACCGUGUACGUACAAGCAGUGGGAGCACCCUUUGGGUGUGACUGCGUACCUUUUGUAUAAUGGGUCAGCGACUUAUAUUCUGUAGCAAGGUUAACCGAAUAGGGGAGCCGGAGGGAAACCGAGUCUUAACCGGGCGUUAAGUUGCAGGGUAUAGACCCGAAACCCGGUGAUCUAGCCAUGGGCAGGUUGAAGGUUGGGUAACACUAACUGGAGGACCGAACCGACUAAUGUUGAAAAAUUAGCGGAUGACCUGUGGCUGGGGGUGAAAGGCCAAUCAAACCGGGAGAUAGCUGGUUCUCCCCGAAAGCUAUUUAGGUAGCGCCUCGUGAAUUCAUCUCCGGGGGUAGAGCACUGUUUCGGCUAGGGGGCCAUCCCGGCUUACCAACCCGAUGCAAACUGCGAAUACCGGAGAAUGUUAUCACGGGAGACACACGGCGGGUGCUAACGUCCGUCGUGAAGAGGGAAACAACCCAGACCGCCAGCUAAGGUCCCAAAGUCAUGGUUAAGUGGGAAACGAUGUGGGAAGGCCCAGACAGCCAGGAUGUUGGCUUAGAAGCAGCCAUCAUUUAAAGAAAGCGUAAUAGCUCACUGGUCGAGUCGGCCUGCGCGGAAGAUGUAACGGGGCUAAACCAUG